UACGGAGGGUGCGAGCGUUGUCCGGAAUCACUGGGCGUAAAGAGCGUGUAGGCGGCUCGAUAAGUCCGCUCUGAAAGCCCGGGGCUCAACCCCGGGAGGCGGGCGGAUACUGUCGAGCUAGAGUCCGGAAGAGGCGAAGUGGAAUUCCUGGUGUAGGCGGUGAAAUGCGCAGAUAUCAGGAGGAACACCAAUGGCGAAGGCAGCUCGCUGGGACGGUACUGACGCUGAGAACGCGGAAGCGUGGGGAGCAAACAGG
This 256-nucleotide ribosomal RNA is filed under the name uncultured bacterium. RNAcentral describes it as "partial 16S ribosomal RNA". It matches the Rfam family "Bacterial small subunit ribosomal RNA", at positions 524 to 776 of the family's 1533-position model. The record is from RNAcentral.